Molecule: long non-coding RNA, 207 nt
Filed under: Elaeis guineensis (African oil palm)
Lineage: Eukaryota; Viridiplantae; Streptophyta; Magnoliopsida; Arecales; Arecaceae
Description: long non-coding RNA (EGUI_LNC005457)
Source: RNAcentral
GGAUAGUUGGGCUUUUGGAGAGAUGCUCUGAUGUAGGAGGCAAAUACACCAUUGGAGCCAAGGGUUUGGAAGGGAAAACUCUAAAGUUCAAGGAGAUGAUGGAUGGAGUUGAUCAAGCCAUGGUGAUAGAUAUCUCUUUAUCCUUUGCUCGCCUACUCCUCUUCUUGCUCUGUCUUUGGCUCUAAGAAUAUGGAUAAGAGAGCAAAG